GAUAUAUACAGGGGUACCGGUACAGAGUCAAUGUGGAGGCUAUAUACAGGGGGUACCGGUACAGAGUCAAUGUGGAGGCUAUAUACAGGGGGUACCGGUACAGAGUCAAUGUGGAGGAUAUAUACAGGGGGUACCGGUACAGAGUCAAUGUGGAGGAUAUAUACAGGGGGUACCGGUACAGAGUCAAUGUGGAGACUAUAUACAGGGGGUACCGGUACAGAGUCAAUGUGGAGGAUAUAUACAGGGAGUACUGGUACAGAGUCAAUGUGGAGGAUAUAUACAGGGGGUACCGGUACAGAGUCAAUGUGGAGACUAUAUACAGGGGGUACCGGUACAGAGUCAAUGUGGAGGAUAUAUACAGGGAGUACUGGUACAGAGUCAAUGUGGAGGAUAUAUACAGGGGGUACCGGUACAGAGUCAAUGUGGAGGAUAUAUACAGGGGGUACCGGUACAGAGUCAAUGUGGAGGAUAUAUACAGGGGGUACUGGUACAGAGUCAAUGUGGAGGAUAUAUACAGGGGGUACCGGUACAGAGUCAAUGUGGAGG
Long non-coding RNA from Oncorhynchus tshawytscha (Chinook salmon), 546 nucleotides. The record is from Ensembl. Lineage: Eukaryota; Metazoa; Chordata; Actinopteri; Salmoniformes; Salmonidae.